UACGUAGGGGGCAAGCGUUGUUCGGAAUUACUGGGCGUAAAGGGCGCGUAGGCGGCACGGCAAGUCAGGAGUGAAAGCCCUGGGCUCAACCCGGGAACUGCUUUUGAAACUGCCGAGCUAGAGUGCGGAAGGGGCAACUGGAAUUCCCAGUGUAGCGGUGAAAUGCGCAGAUAUCAGGAGGAACACCGGUGGCGAAGGCGGGUCUCUGGGCCGAAAUUGACGCUGAGGAGCGAAAGCGUGGGGAGCGAACAGG
RNAcentral lists this ribosomal RNA (253 nucleotides) under uncultured bacterium. RNAcentral's name for it is "partial 16S ribosomal RNA". It matches the Rfam family "Bacterial small subunit ribosomal RNA", at positions 524 to 776 of the family's 1533-position model. The record is from RNAcentral.